CCUACGGGUGGCAGCAGUGAGGAAUAUUGGUCAAUGGCCGGAAGGCUGAACCAGCCAUGCCGCGUGAAGGUCAGUGCCCUAUGGGCGUUAAACUUCUUUUGUGCGGGAGCAAUAAUGGUCACGUGUGGCCAGACGAGAGUACCGUACGAAUAAGCAUCGGCUAACUCCGUGCCAGCAGCCGCGGUAAUACGGGGGAUGCAAGCGUUAUCCGGAUUUAUUGGGGUUAAAGGGGGCGUAGGCUGUGAGGUAAGUCAGCGGUGAAAUGCCCCCGCUCAACGGGGUGAAGUGCCAUUGAGACUGCCUUGCUGGAAUGCGGAUGCCGUGGGAGGAAUGUGUGGUGUAGCGGUGAAAUGCAUAGAUAUCACACAGAACACCGAUUGCGAAGGCAUCUCACGAAUCCGCGAUUGACGCUGAUGCACGAAAGCGUGGGUAUCAAACAGGAUUAGAUACCCCUGUAGUC
This 460-nucleotide ribosomal RNA is filed under the name uncultured bacterium. RNAcentral's name for it is "partial 16S ribosomal RNA". It matches the Rfam family "Bacterial small subunit ribosomal RNA", at positions 338 to 795 of the family's 1533-position model. The record is from RNAcentral.